RNAcentral lists this ribosomal RNA (471 nucleotides) under uncultured bacterium. RNAcentral's name for it is "bacterial SSU rRNA". It matches the Rfam family "Bacterial small subunit ribosomal RNA", at positions 26 to 518 of the family's 1533-position model. The record is from RNAcentral.
AGGACGAACGCUGGCGGCAUGCCUAACACAUGCAAGUCGAACGGGGGUAGCAAUACCCUAGUGGCGAACGGGUGAGUAACACAUAAGCAAUCUGCCCUUCACAGGGGGAUAACAGCGGGAAACUGCUGCUAAUACCGCAUAAGACCACGGUACCGCAUGGUACAGGGGUAAAAACGAAUCAGUGGUGAAGGAUGAGCUUAUGUCCCAUUAGCUAGUUGGUGAGAUAACAGCCCACCAAGGCGACGAUGGGUAGCCGACCUGAGAGGGUGAUCGGCCACACUGGAACUGAGACACGGUCCAGACUCCUACGGGAGGCAGCAGUGGGGAAUAUUGGGCAAUGGAGGAAACUCCUUACCCAGCAAUGCCGCGUGAGUGAAGAAGGUCUUCGGAUUGUAAAGCUCUUUGAUUGGGGACGAAGAAAGUGACGGUACCCAAAGAACAAGCCCCGGCUAACUACGUGCCAGCAGCAGC